GAUGAACGCUGGCGGCGUGCCUAAUACAUGCAAGUCGAGCGAACGGACGAGAAGCUUGCUUCUCUGAUGUUAGCGGCGGACGGGUGAGUAAUAUGUGGAUAACCUACCUAUAAAACUGGGAUAACUUCGGGAAACCGGAGCUAAUACCGGGAAAUAUUUUGAACGGAAUGGUUCAAAAGUGAUAGACGGUUUUGUGGUGUCUUAGAGAUGGAAGACGGCUGCAUUGGCCAGUUGUUAAGGGAACGGCUUACCAAGGGAGGGUGGGAUACCGGACAUGAGAGGGAGAUGGGCAAGACUGGAAGUGAGAAACGGUCCAAACUCCUAGGGGAGGCAGCAGUAGAGAAUCUUCCGCGAUGGGCGAAAGCCGAACGGAGCAACGCCGCGUGAGUGAUGAUGGUCUUCGGAUCGUAAAACUCUGUUAGUAGGGAAGAACAAAUGUGUAAGUAACUGUGAACAUCUUGACGGUACCUAAUCAGAAAGCCACGGCUAACUACGUG
This 497-nucleotide ribosomal RNA is filed under the name uncultured bacterium. Its description in RNAcentral is "partial 16S ribosomal RNA". It matches the Rfam family "Bacterial small subunit ribosomal RNA", at positions 28 to 507 of the family's 1533-position model. The record is from RNAcentral.